UCUUUGCACUCGUUAAUAUGGAACAUGAAGAAUAGAUUCCAUUUUGAUACAGAAAUUAGCAUGGCCCCUGCCCAAGGAUGAUAUGCAAACUUUUGAAGCAUUCCAUAUUUUU
Molecule: small nuclear RNA, 112 nt
Organism: Tursiops truncatus (common bottlenose dolphin)
Lineage: Eukaryota; Metazoa; Chordata; Mammalia; Artiodactyla; Delphinidae
Source: Ensembl